RNAcentral lists this unclassified non-coding RNA (1648 nucleotides) under Anneissia japonica. Its description in RNAcentral is "uncharacterized LOC117109238, transcript variant X1". The record is from RNAcentral. Lineage: Eukaryota; Metazoa; Echinodermata; Crinoidea; Comatulida; Comatulidae.
GUUGAUACCAAAUGUACUAGAAGGCUCCAGUCAAGUUACGAUGCCGUGUAAGUAAUCAACAGUUGAAGGGAAUCUGAAAACUAUAAUGUGGAACGAAGUUGAUGACUCAGGAAAUGAUAUCUAGAUAAACCAGAAGUCAUUGUAUCUCCAAGCGUUGUAUGUGAAGGCAACUCGUUUACCUUAACUUGCAGUAACAUCAAUGUUAACCCAUCUACACCGAUACAAGUCACGUGGUUAAAAGACAACAUCAUCAUUAGCAACGAUAGCUCAAGGUACGAAAUAUAUGAAGAUUUUAAUAGAAUUCGAAUUUCGUUCGCAUCUGUUGAUGACAGUGGAAAUUACCAGUGCAGAGUAAAAAAUGACGCACACAGAAAAGGAAGGUCAAGUUUAGAGCUAAAUAUAUCAGUCUGUAAAUCAUGUCUUCCGUUUAAGAUAUACACUUACACGGUUCUUGCCGUUACCGCAGUUACAGCAUUUAUUCUUGGUUCUUUUCCAACUUGUCUAAUAUGCCACUGCAUCCGUAAAGGACAAGAUCGUCACCAGUAUCAGAUGCAUCAGAACAAAACAUUUCUGUUGAAUUCUGCGGAAUACAGUAGCAAAGCUUUACACAAUGAUGAUGGUUCUGCAGCCAGAAACGCCCCGAAUGAGAAAAAUGAGCAUCACUCUAGAUUUGACUUCAACGUCGUUUAUUCGGAUCCGAUAUAUGAUGUAAUAAAUGCUGACGAAUACGAGCAAAAUAAGCCUAUUUAAUUAUGCAGCUGCUGAAGUAAUUGCAAAAUCCAUAAUAGUCUAUACUUAUCUAUUGCAUUGAACUCGGAAAAGUACUACAUUACUUAAAGUUAGCUAUGGUUGUUCCUGUGGGGAAAAAAGUAUUAAAACAGAGUGUCGUAACUAACAGAUUUGUGUAUGCUUAUUUUUUUAUUGAAAAUCGUAAAGGGAAUUGUUUAUGCUCAAGUUUAUGAGUACAUCCUAAAACUGUAUUAAGCCUGGCACUCACUGCGCCAGAUGGUCAUCAGCCGAAUAGUUUACAUCAAUGAUAACUGCUAUUUUGUCUCGACAAAAUUCUAAUUUGUUUAGACAAAAACUCAGAUUUGCCGAUGCACAUUUUCCCGUGAACUGUAUAAAUGAUCACUGUCGACAGGUGGCGUAAUGAAUUCCUUUGUUAAAUUGAAAUCGAACACACACUGAAAGUAUAGACUCCUAAGUGGGGCGUGUCUAUUGCUUGAUAUCCUUUUUUUGUUUACUAAUUUCAACUCAUCCAACGUUUUUUGGGGCUUUACUACCCCCACUAGGACCAAUUUCAAAAGGAUUUAGGCGAUGCCUGACAAUGCGAACUUUGCUCUUGACAGAAACAUCGUACCCCCGUUGGGCAAAAUCCUGUCGCCAACCUUCAUCAUAUGUACUGUUAGAAUUUUUAAUUGCAGAUUCACAGUGAUAGGCUAUAUUGUUGUACGUUUAAAACUUAUUGUACUUUUUGUCUGUAUGCAUGCUUGAGUAACCUCUAAUAACCUCACAUAGUGAAGGCUCCGUGUAACUAAUUAUGCAGACAUGAAAUUCAAGGUGUUGUGUUAACUCAUAUAUAUGAUGUCUAAUAAAAACGGUUCUUUUUUUACAUACAUUUGUUAUGUUUAUUAUACUUGAAAGACCA